AUUGAACGCUGGCGGCAGGCCUAACACAUGCAAGUCGAGCGGAUGAAGGGAGCUUGCUCCUGGAUUCAGCGGCGGACGGGAGAGUAAUGCCUAGGAAUCUGCCUGGUAGUGGGGGAUAACGUCCGGAAACGGGCGCUAAUACCGCAUACGUCCUGUGGGAGAAAGUGGGGGAUCUUCGGACCUCACGCUAUCAGAUGAGCCUAGGUCGGAUUAGCUAGUUGGUGGGGUAAAGGCCUACCAAGGCGACGAUCCGUAACUGGUCUGAGAGGAUGAUCAGUCACACUGGAACUGAGACACGGUCCAGACUCCUACGGGAGGCAGCAGUGGGGAAUAUUGGACAAUGGGCGAAAGCCUGAUCCAGCCAUGCCGCGUGCGUGAAGAAGGUCUUCGGAUUGUAAAGCACUUUAAGUUGGGAGGAAGGGCAGUAAGUUAAUACCUUGCUGUUUUGACGUUACCAACAGAAUAAGCACCGGCUAACUUCGUG
RNAcentral lists this ribosomal RNA (484 nucleotides) under uncultured bacterium. RNAcentral describes it as "partial 16S ribosomal RNA". It matches the Rfam family "Bacterial small subunit ribosomal RNA", at positions 30 to 507 of the family's 1533-position model. The record is from RNAcentral.